This 301-nucleotide ribosomal RNA is filed under the name uncultured bacterium. RNAcentral describes it as "partial 16S ribosomal RNA". It matches the Rfam family "Bacterial small subunit ribosomal RNA", at positions 509 to 807 of the family's 1533-position model. The record is from RNAcentral.
CAGCAGCCGCGGUAAUACGGAGGGAGCUAGCGUUGUUCGGAAUUACUGGGCGUAAAGCGCACGUAGGCGGUUAUUCAAGUCAGAGGUGAAAGCCCGGGGCUCAACCCCGGAACUGCCUUUGAAACUAGAUGACUGGAAUCUUGGAGAGGUCAGUGGAAUUCCGAGUGUAGAGGUGAAAUUCGUAGAUAUUCGGAAGAACACCAGUGGCGAAGGCGACUGACUGGACAAGUAUUGACGCUGAGGUGCGAAAGCGUGGGGAGCAAACAGGAUUAGAUACCCCAGUAGUCCCUGUCUCUUAUAC